Molecule: non-coding RNA, 46 nt
Filed under: Schistosoma mansoni
Lineage: Eukaryota; Metazoa; Platyhelminthes; Trematoda; Strigeidida; Schistosomatidae
Also listed under: 1 other name
Source: RNAcentral
GCACUGCUGAGGAGUGCCACAACAGGACGAAACGGCCGUCCAGUGC